CGGUGCUGUCUCAUUCCAUCUGCCAGAGGCUGAGAGAUGGCUGGAUAUGAACUUCAAAAUCAGAUGCUGUUCAUGCAACUGAAAUCUGAAGCUGUUUCUUGGGGUCCCUGUUCUAGAACUGAAGAAGUUUCAAGAAUGAAUCUGAUAUGGAUCCUGCCCUUAAGGACUUCACAGCAGAGAUGGGAGGGCACAAAGUGAUGGUGGAACUGAACGGGCCUCACUCUCUUGCAGUUGGAAAUUCCUCUCUACAGCAUUCAAGAAAGUACUUUGCCAUAAAGUCUUCACACAUUUUGUGAUUAACACAACUGAAAGCCAAAGUCAGCAAAACCUAAAGUCCUUCUCCUGAAAUCCAACAUGAAGGACAAAACAAAUCCCAGUUUCCACUCUGGAUUUAGCUCAACACCUUCAUUUCAUGGUCAAGGGCAUUGGGGCACUGAAAGUUAGGAGGUGAAGCUGAGAGUG
Choloepus didactylus (southern two-toed sloth) is the source of this 462-nucleotide long non-coding RNA. RefSeq lists it as uncharacterized. The transcript is spliced from 3 exons. Lineage: Eukaryota; Metazoa; Chordata; Mammalia; Pilosa; Megalonychidae. The record is from RefSeq and is a predicted model, not a curated record.